AUUGAACGCUGGCGGCAUGCCUUACACAUGCAAGUCGAACGGUAACGGGCCUUCGGGUGCCGACGAGUGGCGAACGGGUGAGUAAUGCAUCGGAACGUACCUUUCAGUGGGGGAUAACGUAGCGAAAGUUACGCUAAUACCGCAUAUUCUGUGAGCAGGAAAGCAGGGGAUCGCAAGACCUUGCGCUGAUUGAGCGGCCGAUGUCAGAUUAGCUAGUUGGUGAGGUUAAAGGGCUCACCAAGGCGACGAUCUGUAGCGGGUCUGAGAGGAUGAUCCGCCACACUGGAACUGAGACACGGUCCAGACUCCUACGGGAGGCAGCAGUGGGGGAAUUUUGGACAAUGGGGGCAACCCUGAUCCAGCCAUGCCGCGUGAGUGAAGAAGGCCUC
RNAcentral lists this ribosomal RNA (389 nucleotides) under uncultured bacterium. RNAcentral's name for it is "bacterial SSU rRNA". It matches the Rfam family "Bacterial small subunit ribosomal RNA", at positions 30 to 418 of the family's 1533-position model. The record is from RNAcentral.